RNAcentral lists this ribosomal RNA (536 nucleotides) under uncultured bacterium. RNAcentral describes it as "partial 16S ribosomal RNA". It matches the Rfam family "Bacterial small subunit ribosomal RNA", at positions 355 to 881 of the family's 1533-position model. The record is from RNAcentral.
UGGGGAAUAUUGGACAAUGGGGGCAACCCUGAUCCAGCCAUGCCGCGUGUGUGAAGAAGGCCUUUUGGUUGUAAAGCACUUUAAGCAGGGAGGAGAGGCUAAUGGUUAAUACCCAUUAGAUUAGACGUUACCUGCAGAAUAAGCACCGGCUAACUCUGUGCCAGCAGCCGCGGUAAUACAGAGGGUGCGAGCGUUAAUCGGAAUUACUGGGCGUAAAGCGAGUGUAGGUGGCUCAUUAAGUCACAUGUGAAAUCCCCGGGCUUAACCUGGGAACUGCAUGUGAUACUGGUGGUGCUAGAAUAUGUGAGAGGGAAGUAGAAUUCCCAGGUGUAGCGGUGAAAUGCGUAGAGAUCUGGAGGAAUACCGAUGGCGAAGGCAGCUUCCUGGCAUAAUAUUGACACUGAGAUUCGAAAGCGUGGGUAGCAAACAGGAUUAGAUACCCUGGUAGUCCACGCCGUAAACGAUGUCUACUAGCCGUUGGGGUCCUUGAGACUUUAGUGGCGCAGUUAACGCGAUAAGUAGACCGCCUGGGGGAG